This 253-nucleotide ribosomal RNA is filed under the name uncultured bacterium. RNAcentral describes it as "partial 16S ribosomal RNA". It matches the Rfam family "Bacterial small subunit ribosomal RNA", at positions 524 to 776 of the family's 1533-position model. The record is from RNAcentral.
UACGAAGGGGGCUAGCGUUGUUCGGAAUUACUGGGCGUAAAGGGCGCGUAGGCGGUGUGUCAAGUCAGGCGUGAAAGCCCCGGGCUCAACCUGGGAACCGCGCUUGAGACUGGCACGCUAGAGUUCGGGAGAGGAUGGUGGAAUUCCCAGUGUAGAGGUGAAAUUCGUAGAUAUUGGGAAGAACACCGAUGGCGAAGGCAGCCAUCUGGACCGACACUGACGCUGAGGCGCGAAGGCGUGGGGAGCAAACAGG